This 492-nucleotide ribosomal RNA is filed under the name uncultured bacterium. Its description in RNAcentral is "partial 16S ribosomal RNA". It matches the Rfam family "Bacterial small subunit ribosomal RNA", at positions 29 to 507 of the family's 1533-position model. The record is from RNAcentral.
AGUGAACGCUGGCGGUAGGCCUAACACAUGCAAGUCGAACGGCCGCACAGUAAGAGCUUGCUCUUACGGUUGGCGAGUGGCGGACGGGUGAGGCAUACAUCGGAAUCUACUUUUUCGUGGGGGAUAACGUAGGGAAACUUACGCUACUACCUCAUACGUCCUACGGGUGAAAUCAGGGGAUCUUCGGACCUUUCCCGACUCAUUUAGCCGAUGUCGGAUUAGCUAGUUGGCGGGGUAAAGGCCCACCAAGGCGACGAUCCGUAGCUGGUCUGAGAGGAUGAUCAGCCACACUGGAACUGAGACACGGUCCAGACUCCUACGGGAGGCAGCAGUGGGGAAUAUUGGGCAAUGGGCGAAAGCCUGACACAGCCAUGCCGCGUGGGUGAAGAAGGCCUUCGGGUUGUAAAGCCCUGUUGUUGGGAAAGAAAAGAAGCAGGUUAAUACCCCGAUGUUCUGACGGUACCCAAAGAAUAAGCAACGGCUAACUUCGUG